Molecule: ribosomal RNA, 249 nt
Filed under: uncultured prokaryote
Description: partial 16S ribosomal RNA
Rfam family: Bacterial small subunit ribosomal RNA
Source: RNAcentral
UACGGAGGAUGCGAGCGUUAUCCGGAUUUAUUGGGUUUAAAGGGUGCGUAGGCGGCCGAGUAAGUCAGCGGUGAAAUUUUGCAGCUUAACUCUAACAGUGCCGUUGAUACUGCAUGGCUAGGAUUUGGUUGCUGUGGGUGGAAUGUGUGGUGUAGCGGUGAAAUGCUUAGAUAUCACACAGAAUAUCAAUUGCGAAGGCAGCUCACAAAGCCAAGAUUGACGCUGAGGCACGAAAGUGUGGGGAUCAAA